AGACGGGGGGAGCAAGCGUUGUUCGGAUUUACUGGGCGUAAAGGGCGUCUAGGCGGAGUAGCAAGUCAGGUGUGAAAGCCCACGGCUCAACCGUGGAAUUGCACUUGAAACUGCUAUUCUUGAGUACGGAAGAGGAAAGCGGAAUUCCUGGUGUAGCGGUGAAAUGCGUAGAUAUCAGGAAGAACACCGGUGGCGAAGGCGGCUUUCUGGUCCGAUACUGACGCUGAAGCGCGAAAGUGUGGGGAGCAAACAGGAUUAGAUACCCUGGUAGUCCACACUGUAAACGAUGGAUACUAGGUGUCGGGGAUUCGACCUCUCCGGUGCCGCAGCUAACGCAUUAAGUAUCCCGCCUGGGGAGUACGAUCGCAAGGCUGAA
Molecule: ribosomal RNA, 376 nt
Filed under: uncultured bacterium
Lineage: Bacteria
Description: bacterial SSU rRNA
Rfam family: Bacterial small subunit ribosomal RNA
Source: RNAcentral